GACUGCAACAAGAAUAGCUUAGCAAGGAAAACUACUUGACAGGCUAGCACAACCUGAGGUCCUCUUGUCUGAAAGAGCAGCAGGAUACAGUGCAGGAGAGAGAGAAGUACAAAGCUGGAAUUCCAAACAAAGGCAAAGUGAAUCUGAAAAAUGACAGACGCUUGUAAAGAAGAGACAACAGUUACACCUAGCUUCUCUUCAGUUCAAGGCAACUCCUGACAGCGAAACAAAAUAAUUCCUGAAGAAAUAUUGUCAACAAGCUCCAGUACCGCACGAUCAAGUCAGAGUAACCCCAAACGCGGGUAGGGCAGCAGGAAAACCUUGACCACGCUACACACAAGUCGUCUCCGGCCUUGCCGCAGAAAACUCGAAUAGCAAGUUACCGUGAAAAAGGAGAAAGACCAGCCACAGAGGCGCUCUGACAGCAGAUGCGUGCUGUAAUCCCAGGAAGGAAAGGGAACCGAUUGUCUGCACCCAAGGAGUGAGCGAUGGGCUGCCGUACUGUGCCCGCUGUCCUGGAGCAGAGCGUGCCUGUAACAGGGCAUUGCAGCUGCGUCAGCAAGCCAGACCCUCUGCACGCUGCCUCCCACCACAGUCCUCUGAGCAUCCUCCACCUCGCACCUCUCUGUCACCAUCCCCUCCUCAGGUGACUCGGAAGCCUGGCUCAACCCCAGCUGUGGAGCUGGCCUCGCCACUUACAGCUCAGCACAAGGUGCUUCCUGCUCUGCAUCAGAGGAUACGGAAGGCCCUUAGGUGACAGCACGUAACCUGUCCUGGGCAUGUGACUCCACCGCCAGCAUCGUGCCCUGGCUGCUGUGACUGAGGAGAGAGAAAGCAGUUUGUAUGUUGUUAGUUCUGGGUGCCCAAGCUCAAAGGCUGUCCCUCCUGCUACUUGCUGACUACAACACGUACACUUUGACUCACUCCAUUACACAGUUUUGCUCAGCCCCUAACCUCUCUGUGAGCUCUGCAUUAGCCUGCGCAUUACCUUCCACUUAAUGCAGUUACUGGCUAAUCUGCUAUUCCAUUUUUUUUUGAUCUGAGCCUCAACGACCAAAUCAUACGUACAACAAAUUGUACAAGCUCCAUCUUCAAGUUCAACUGCUUCAAGCAGGUACUGAGGAACAAUUAGAUCGCUGUCUGCAGGAGCUGCCACUUAGCUAAGAAAGACAAGACAACUCUAAAUAAGACAGAUGCAGAGAAAGUCCAAAGAUUGUUCAUGCUGAUAAUGAAAAUUAAUCAAACAUCAUUAGCAGUCUCCAGAGAGCACAGUACAUCAUGUGCUUCUUGUCUUCCUCUGCCUGAUGAGAGCACCCACUUCCGCUAAAUCAAGAGCAGUAGGGAGCUUCGUGGCAUCAAGACAAAGAUCAAAAUUUGGAGCCUUUUCUGGACGGAGUGGCGGAACUUUUUUUGGAAGUGAUUUGGGACAGUCUACAGUUUAGCAGUGCUGAACAGCACCCAUGGUCUCCGGGGAAGUCAAUAAACACACACAGGAGAUUCUGCUAAAUGCGCAGGCUUGUUUGUCUCCCUGUAAAGUGGAAAUUACAGCGAGGUAGUUCAUUCUGAGCAAGACUCCUUGGGAGGUUUCUUAUAUCCGCACCCAAAUGCAGCUGGGAUGCACUUUCUGGAAGGCACCAUUCUGCACACAGGAGAGGGUAUGGUUAAGUAUCGACACCACUCUCAGCUGGAUUGUUUUUGCAUGCAGAUAUUUCUUCUCAAGCCUCUUUGUUUCCUUAUUUUUGCCCUCAUGUUUGCCUUCUUCGCUAGCCAUGUUGCCCUAAUUUUAUCUCAUCAGCCUCAAAAGCUGGAGCCUGAGUCAGUUGUGUUUAUAUCAUGCUUAAUGUACAGGAGCCCUGGCAGGAGCUUUUAGGCUCUACAAUUAACGAUUUAUUUGUU
Molecule: long non-coding RNA, 1896 nt
Organism: Oxyura jamaicensis (ruddy duck)
Lineage: Eukaryota; Metazoa; Chordata; Aves; Anseriformes; Anatidae
Exons: 2
Source: RefSeq, a predicted model, not a curated record